UUGACCUUUUCUAUUUUUAAAUCACUCAAAGAGGGUGGGCUAGGAGGAUGAGUGAAAGAAAAGGUCAA
Loxodonta africana (African savanna elephant) is the source of this 68-nucleotide long non-coding RNA. It matches the Rfam family "XIST 3' intron conserved motif". The record is from Rfam. NCBI's taxonomy places the organism in Eukaryota, Metazoa, Chordata, Mammalia, Proboscidea, Elephantidae.